GCCGACCUAGCUCAGUUGGUAGAGCAGGUGUUUCGUAAACACCAGGUCAUCGGUUCGAGUCCGAUGGUCGGCUCCA
This 76-nucleotide transfer RNA is filed under the name Nitrolancea sp. Its description in RNAcentral is "tRNA-Thr". It matches the Rfam family "tRNA". Rfam says of the family: Transfer RNA (tRNA) molecules are approximately 80 nucleotides in length. Their secondary structure includes four short double-helical elements and three loops (D, anti-codon, and T loops). Further hydrogen bonds mediate the characteristic L-shaped molecular structure. tRNAs have two regions of fundamental functional importance: the anti-codon, which is responsible for specific mRNA codon recognition, and the 3' end, to which the tRNAs corresponding amino acid is attached (by aminoacyl-tRNA synthetases). tRNAs cope with the degeneracy of the genetic code in two manners: having more than one tRNA (with a specific anti-codon) for a particular amino acid; and 'wobble' base-pairing, i.e. permitting non-standard base-pairing at the 3rd anti-codon position. The record is from RNAcentral. Lineage: Bacteria; Pseudomonadati; Thermomicrobiota; Thermomicrobia; Sphaerobacterales; Sphaerobacteraceae. RNAcentral also lists the same sequence under 1 other name.